UGGGGAAUAUUGGACAAUGGGUGAGAGCCUGAUCCAGCCAUGCCGCGUGCAGGAUGAAGUAUUUCGGUAUGUAAACUUCGAAAGAAUAGGAAGAAUAAAUGACGGUACUAUUUAUAAGGUCCGGCUAACUACGUGCCAGCAGCCGCGGUAAUACGUAGGGACCAAGCGUUGUUCGGAUUUACUGGGCGUAAAGGGCGCGUAGGCGGCGUGGUAAGUCACUUGUGAAAUCUCCGAGCUUAACUCGGAACGGUCAAGUGAUACUGCUGUGCUAGAGUACAGAAGGGGCAAUCGGAAUUCUUGGUGUAGCGGUGAAAUGCGUAGAUAUCAAGAGGAACACCUGAGGUGAAGACGGGUUGCUGGGCUGAUACUGACGCUGAGGCGCGAAAGCUAGGGUAGCAAACGGGAUUAGAUACCCCCGUAGUCCCUGAGCGGGCUGGCAAGGCGCAU
RNAcentral lists this ribosomal RNA (447 nucleotides) under uncultured bacterium. RNAcentral's name for it is "bacterial SSU rRNA". It matches the Rfam family "Bacterial small subunit ribosomal RNA", at positions 355 to 825 of the family's 1533-position model. The record is from RNAcentral.